GUUUUAUCCACUGCCUUGGCACAAAAGUGCAAUGCAAGCUUUCUUUUGAAGUCCACUAGGAUUUCCUUAAAUUUAUGAUCAGAUAGUUGCAAGCAAUGAAAUUAUCAUCUCCCAUGUGAGAGGAGACAGCAUCCUGCACAGACCAUUUCCAGCAAAGGUUGUUUAAGACAACCCUUUUUAUUUUGCAGUGCAAGAUGCUGGAAGCACAGUAGCUUUGAAUUUCUUCAGUUCAGCUAAAGUUUGAACUUCCCCAGUGCUUUCAGCAUCUCUGCAUGUAGCAUGUGCUUCAGCACCCGAUCAUGCUGAUGGCCUUUGGCUGAGCUCUCCCUGGGAUGUCAGCAAACCAUGUUGCAUCUUGUUGGUGCCAUCAGCUAUGAGUGUGGACAUUUACUUUGGCCCAGAGAGAGGGGAAUAAGCUAUAUUCCAAAUAACCUCUGGACUAUGUACUUGAAUUAAAGAACAUAAAGGAGCGAGCAGCGCCAUGUAAGCAGCUGUGGACUGGCAUGAAGAUAGAUGGUGUCUGGGACGAGACGGGGCAAAAAGAAAAGAAGCAAAAGGUUUUUUCCAUUGCGGCAGAGCUCUGUCAUGGACGUGGCGUCGGGAGCUGUGGAGGCUGUGCCUGUGGGGAGGGUAGGUUGUGGGGUCUCAGUGCCUUGGGGCAGGGAUUUCCUAUCUGCUGUUGCUCUGGAAAGGGAGCUCCACUGCUGUUCUCCACGCAUGUGCAAGGACCUGCUGCUUCUUACAAGCUUUUGCCAUCCAAACUCCUCCAUGCCUAAGGACACCUGCUGGGCCCGGGGGCAGCAAGGUGUGCACUUGGCUUUGUUCACGAGGAUAAUCUCCUUUUGCUCUGCCCAUUGGGCUUUGAGCAAACCUACUCCAUCCCCCAGGCUCUUUCCCUCAGGUUUAAGGAUAUUGCUUGUGCUCCUGCAGUCUGGAAAUAUUUGUGAGGAUCUUGGUUGGGCUGGAGCUUAG
RNAcentral lists this long non-coding RNA (972 nucleotides) under Anas platyrhynchos platyrhynchos (common mallard). Its description in RNAcentral is "lncRNA (ENSAPLG00000030660.1)". Lineage: Eukaryota; Metazoa; Chordata; Aves; Anseriformes; Anatidae. The record is from RNAcentral.